This is a non-coding RNA of Nylanderia fulva, 496 nucleotides long. The record is from RefSeq and is a predicted model, not a curated record. NCBI's taxonomy places the organism in Eukaryota, Metazoa, Arthropoda, Insecta, Hymenoptera, Formicidae.
CUGGAGCUGUGCAGAGACUUUUGUUGUACAUAACCUUGAAUAUGAGCAAAUUUGCUUCAUGUAAAAAUUCUACAGUUUGUUAUGCGCAAAAUAAGAGCCAGCGUAUGCGAAGAAUUUUUACAUGAAGCAAAUAUUGCUCGUGUUCGAGAUUAUGUACGACAAAAGUCCCUGCACAACUCCAGCAUCCCCUUAUUAAGGACAUUAUUAUGUCUUUAACAUUAUAAGUAAACAUAAAUUGAGAAAGUCUCGUGUUCAAACGUGUGGAUUAUGUGAAAUCAUAUGUAAUGAGGACGAAGUACCCAGCCAUGAGUGUCUUCAAGGAUAUUCUAAUUUCAUUACAGAUAAUAAUUUGUACUUUUACCCUGUAUUAGACGAUGGAGAAACUAUUGUUAGAAGAAGCUUGACACAGGACGCUGAAACAAUAGCAUCUGUACCUUUUCAUGGUGAUAAUCAAGGUCAGAUAAAUAGAAUAUUCGAUCCAUUAAUAAUAAUAGAA